RNAcentral lists this small nucleolar RNA (145 nucleotides) under Castor canadensis (American beaver). RNAcentral describes it as "Small nucleolar RNA SNORA73 family (ENSCCNG00000029732.1)". It matches the Rfam family "Small nucleolar RNA SNORA73 family", at positions 60 to 219 of the family's 219-position model. Rfam says of the family: U17 (SNORA73A and SNORA73B) also known as E1 belongs to the H/ACA class of small nucleolar RNAs (snoRNAs). Vertebrate U17 is intron-encoded and ranges in length from 200-230 nucleotides, longer than most snoRNAs. The record is from Rfam by way of RNAcentral. Lineage: Eukaryota; Metazoa; Chordata; Mammalia; Rodentia; Castoridae.
CCAAUGUACUGACCCUCAUGAUGUACAGUCCCUUUCCACAACACUGGAGAAAAAGCUGGGUCUUGAGUCUGUGCCUGCACUUACCUACAACUUCUCAGAGUCCUGUGGACAAUGACUGAGGAGAUAAACCAUGCAGGAAACAAUG